GAGGCGGGCCGGGCAGCCGCGGUGCCUCGGCGCCGAGGAAAGUCCGGACACCACAGAGCAGGGUGCUGGUUAACGGCCAGCGGGGGAAACCCCAGGGAAAGUGCCACAGAAACGACACAGCCUCGAGGGCCUUGCGCCCCGCGGCAACGGUGAAACGGUGCGGUAAGAGCGCACCAGCGGUCUGGUGACAGGCCGGCUGGGUAAACCCCACCCGGUGCAAGGCCAAAUCGGGGCGUCACGGGUUGCUCGCCCAGUCCCAGGUAGGCCGCACGAGGCGUCCGGCAACGGGCGUCCCAGAGAGAUGGCUGUCCCCGACAGAAUCCGGCUUACAGGCCCGCUACGGAC
This 345-nucleotide RNase P RNA is filed under the name Thermoleophilia bacterium. Its description in RNAcentral is "RNase P RNA component class A". It matches the Rfam family "Bacterial RNase P class A". From Rfam's summary of the family: Ribonuclease P (RNase P) is a ubiquitous endoribonuclease, found in archaea, bacteria and eukarya as well as chloroplasts and mitochondria. The record is from RNAcentral. Lineage: Bacteria; Bacillati; Actinomycetota; Thermoleophilia.